GUUAAAAUAUUACAUACUUUUAAAAAUAAAAUAAAUAUACAUGAAUAUGUAAAAAAUAAUCAAACAUUCAAAGUAAAAAAAAAGAUAGUUUCUUUAGCUUGAUUCCCUUAUUGUGCGAUCGUCGGAAUUAAUAUUUUUGAAUCUGCAUCAAUAAUGUAAUUUUAUCAUAGCCAUCAAAAUUAUAAUAAUAUACAUAUGUAGUUUUAAAUUAAAAAUUAUUAUAAAAAUGAAAAGAAGGAAGGAAGAAGUACAUGGAAACAAAGAAGAAAUAAAAUUAAAAAGAAUGUAAUAUAUAUAUUAAACAAAAUAUAUAAUAAACUCUUACAAUGAUAUCUUAAUUGAGUUUUCAACCCAUGCAAGAACAUAAACAAAACAAAGAGAAUAUUUAGGAUUUGAAACAUGGUGGAGGAGGAUGUGAGAAUGAUUAUUUAUUGGAAAAGAAGUGAUGGAAGUUACAUUUCUAAACUAAUUAGAUUAUAGGGGUUACAAUAAUAAUUAUAGUGUGAUUGAAUGACAAUGAAUA
Molecule: long non-coding RNA, 523 nt
Filed under: Arabidopsis lyrata
Lineage: Eukaryota; Viridiplantae; Streptophyta; Magnoliopsida; Brassicales; Brassicaceae
Description: long non-coding RNA (ALYR_LNC002775)
Source: RNAcentral